This 1240-nucleotide ribosomal RNA is filed under the name Dothideomycetes sp. TRN236. Its description in RNAcentral is "eukaryotic LSU rRNA". It matches the Rfam family "Eukaryotic large subunit ribosomal RNA", at positions 152 to 1449 of the family's 3401-position model. Lineage: Eukaryota; Fungi; Ascomycota; Dothideomycetes. The record is from RNAcentral.
GUAGAGGAUGCUUUUGGGCAGUCUACCGGUCUAAGUUCCUUGGAACAGGACGUCAUAGAGGGUGAGAAUCCCGUAUGUGACCGGCCAGGCACCCUCCGUAAAGCUCCUUCGACGAGUCGGGUUGUUUGGGAAUGCAGCCCUAAAUUGGAGGUAAAUUUCUUCUAAAGCUAAAUACCGGCCAGAGACCGAUAGCGCACAAGUAGAGUGAUCGAAAGAUGAAAAGCACUUUGGAAAGAGAGUUAAAAAGCACGUGAAAUUGUUGAAAGGGAAGCGCUUGCAAUCAGUCUCGACGGCGGCUGUUCAGCCGGUCUUCUGACCGGUCCACUCAGCCGCCGCCGGGCCAGCAUCGGUUUCGGCGGUCGGAUAAAGGCCAUGGGAAUGUAGCUCCUCCGGGAGUGUUAUAGCCCAAGGUGCAAUACGAUCAGCCGGGACCGAGGUCCGCGCUUCGGCUAGGAUGCUGGCGAAAUGGUUGUAAGCGGCCCGUCUUGAAACACGGACCAAGGAGUCUAACAUCUAUGCGAGUGUUUGGGUGUCAAACCCAUACGCGUAAUGAAAGUGAACGGAGGUGGGAACCCUUUGGGUGCACCAUCGACCGAUCCUGAUGUCUUCGGAUGGAUUUGAGUAAGAGCAUAGCUGUUGGGACCCGAAAGAUGGUGAACUAUGCCUGAAUAGGGUGAAGCCAGAGGAAACUCUGGUGGAGGCUCGCAGCGGUUCUGACGUGCAAAUCGAUCGUCAAAUUUGGGUAUAGGGGCGAAAGACUAAUCGAACCAUUGAACAACUCAAACUACUAGGUGGUUGAGAGGCCGCGCAACAAAAGGCGACCUAGUCCGACAAGGCAACCCUCCCCUCUCACGGGGGGGGGGCCACUGCCUCCGGGCGACACUAUCAAAUUGCGGGAAAGCCCCGCGAAAGACCCGUGGCUACCGCCCCCCUCCCGAAAGGGCCAGGGUGGGCACCGGGCUAGCAGCCCCGGGUACGGUAAAAAUGCCACGGGAUGGGGUGACCACGCAGCCAAAUCCUCAAGGGGGUCCUUUCAACGGGGCCCCCAAGGACGCAGUCCACAGACUAGACGGUAGUGGGCGUCGACCCACCGCGGGCGACGCUUAAGAUAUAGUCGAAUGCCCCCCGGAGACGGGGAACAGCUCAAAUUUGAAAUCUGGCGCAAGCCCGAGUUGUAAUUUGUAGAGGAUGCUUCUGGGCAGCGGCCGGUCUAAGUUCCUUGGAACAGGACGUCAUAGAG